This 345-nucleotide ribosomal RNA is filed under the name uncultured bacterium. RNAcentral describes it as "partial 16S ribosomal RNA". It matches the Rfam family "Bacterial small subunit ribosomal RNA", at positions 338 to 681 of the family's 1533-position model. The record is from RNAcentral.
CCUACGGGUGGCAGCAGUGAGGAAUAGUGGUCAAUGGGCGCGAGCCUGAACCAGCCAAGUCGCGUGAGGGAAGACGGUCCUAUGGAUUGUAAACCGCUUUUGUCGGGGAGCAAAAGACGGCACGCGUGGCGGUCCGAGAGUACCCGAAGAAAAAGCAUCGGCUAACUCCGUGCCAGCAGCCGCGGUAAUACGGAGGAUGCGAGCGUUAUCCGGAUUUCUUGGGUUUAAAGGGUGCGCAGGCGGAAGGUUAAGUCAGCGGUAAAAUUGAGAGGCUCAACCGCGUCGAGCCGUUGAAACUGGGUUUCUUGAGUGAGUGAGACGUCUGCGGAAUGCGUGUUGUAGCGG